GUGCUCGCUUCAGCAGCACAUAUGCUAAAAUUGGAAUGAUACAGAGAAAAUUAGCAUGGCCCCUGUGCAAGGAUGACAUGCAAAUCCGUGACACGUUCCAUAUUUUU
Molecule: small nuclear RNA, 107 nt
Organism: Dipodomys ordii (Ord's kangaroo rat)
Lineage: Eukaryota; Metazoa; Chordata; Mammalia; Rodentia; Heteromyidae
Source: Ensembl